CGGCUCAGCCCCCAGCUAUGGCGUACGCGCCCAUCAGUUUUGGCCUCGGAUCAGGCGGGGAUACCCGCUGAACUUAA
This 77-nucleotide ribosomal RNA is filed under the name Echinocatena arthrinioides. RNAcentral's name for it is "partial 28S ribosomal RNA". The record is from RNAcentral. Lineage: Eukaryota; Fungi; Ascomycota; Dothideomycetes; Venturiales; Sympoventuriaceae.